AAGUCGNNCGGCAGCACGGAGCUUGCUCUGGUGGCGAGUGGCGAACGGGUGAGUAAUGCGUCGGAACGUAUCCAAUAAUGGGGGAUAACGCAGCGAAAGCUGUGCUAAUACCGCAUACGCCCUCCGGGGGAAAGCAGGGGAUCUUUGGACCUUGCGUUAAUGGAGCGGCCGACGUCUGAUUAGCUAGUUGGUAGGGUAAAGGCCUACCAAGGCGACGAUCAGUAGCUGGUCUGAGAGGAUGAUCAGCCACACUGGGACUGAGACACGGCCCAGACUCCUACGGGAGGCAGCAGUGGGGAAUUUUGGACAAUGGGCGCAAGCCUGAUCCAGCCAUUCCGCGUGAGUGAAGAAGGCCUUCGGGUUGUAAAGCUCUUUCAGGAGGGAAGAAACGAUUGUGGCUAAUACCCAUGAUUAAUGACGGUACCUUCAGAAGAAGCACCGGCUAACUACGUGCCAGCAGCCGCGGUAAUACGUAGGGUGCGAGCGUUAAUCGGAAUUACUGGGCGUAAAGCGUGCGCAGGCGGUUUUUCAAGUCUGAUGUGAAAUCCCCGGGCUUAACCUGGGAACUGCGUUGGAAACUGAAAGACUAGAGUGCGGCAGAGGGGGGUAGAAUUCCACGUGUAGCAGUGAAAUGCGUAGAUAUGUGGAGGAAUACCGAUGGCGAAGGCAGCCCCCUGGGUCGACACUGACGCUCAUGCGCGAAAGCGUGGGUAGCAAACAGGAUUAGAUACCCUGGUAGUCCACGCCCUAAACGAUGUCAACUAGUUGUUGGGGANGGAGACCUCCUUAGUAACGCAGCUAACGCGUGAAGUUGACCGCCUGGGGAGUACGGUCGCAAGAUUAAAACUCAAAGGGNNUGACGGGGGCCCGCACAAGCGGUGGAUUAUGUGGAUUAAUUUCGAUGCANCGCGAAAAACCUUACCUACCCUUGACAUGUACGGAACUUG
This 947-nucleotide ribosomal RNA is filed under the name uncultured bacterium. RNAcentral describes it as "bacterial SSU rRNA". It matches the Rfam family "Bacterial small subunit ribosomal RNA", at positions 59 to 999 of the family's 1533-position model. The record is from RNAcentral.